AUGCGCACUGGCGCCCUGCGACAACCGCCACCGCUCCCGGAGGCGGCCAGGACCGGCUGGAGCCGGUUAGAGCCGGCGGUGCCCGCCCGCGAGCCGGCGCCUCACAAGGGGAGGCGGCGGCUCACGGCUCGCGUAUCCCUGCGCCGGGCGGGUGCGGGGUGCGCGCCGUGCCGUGCCCUUCCCCCCAGCCUUUGUCUCCAGCCUGCAGCUGCGGCGGCCCAGGUCUCCGGGCCAGUCCCUGCCCCCAGCCCUCCCCGCGGCCCCUGCAGCCCCCCGAGGGGUCUGGACGUGGGGCAGAGCUUGGCCGAGGGGAGCCGGAGAACACGCGCCCUCUCGCCCCCCACACGUCCCACCUCGCCGGGUUCUCCGCGCAGCCGCAUGGCCCCGUGGAAACCUGUCUCCCGUUGUAAAAACCUCGGAAGUGGAGCCAAGCCAGAGAGAAUACGGAUUCCAAAGCACAGACUUAGAAAAGCACACUCCUAAGCAGUUUCGCGAAAGUCUGAGAACGUUCCCGGACGGGCUGCCCGAGGUCGUUUCCUCAGAAAAGCCUUCUGGCGUUUGGGGAUCAAAGAGGACGCUUAAAACUUGACUUUGACAGUUUUGGGUUUUGGUGACUUUGACGAGAAGCUUGGAAGCUCAGAAACGGUUCACAUUUGGGCAGAACAAAAAGUGUGGGCGUGAUAUUAAAAAAGGCAGAGAUGUGGGGGGGUCGAGCUAGCAUUUAGGGACCCCAAAGCCGGGACCACUGAGCCCGUGAAGUAACACAAGUCCCCCCCCCCCCCCGGCCCCCUUCGUGUUGGUUCGGACGCAGGAGGCAGCCCUGCCCCGGAACUACUUGAGACAUUUUCUAGAAGUGGAUUUCCACGUUUAGUAGAAUUCUUAAGCAGAUAACCCGGACCGCCGGGCUUCUCCAAUAACAGGGUAAUCAGAAUGUCGGGGCUAACCUGAGAACCGACUGGCAGGCCCCGAGGCUAUUUGGGGGACAAACGGACACUUUGCCGCAGCUAAGAUGGCCGCCAUCUCCUGACGAGGCUGAGGUUCGGUUACAUAAUGGAAAUAAAAGGCCGUCAACAACUCCAUUUCAACCGUCCUUCAUAAAGCACUUCAUAGUAUCUACUGUACUGCCAAGAAAACAUGAGGUAUUUUUAAAGCUACUAAAAAAAUUCCUAAGUAAUGGAUCUGAAGUUAGGGAAAGCUGUUUGAUCUACUUAAAUGUGAUUUUUGUGCCUAAGUCUUCAGUUCAAAUCUACUUGCUAGUAAGUUUUGACUAUUCCUGGGUACACGGGGGGUAAUCAAGUUGCCUGAACUGUCACGAAAGCUCCAGAAAGUCUUGUAAAGCUAGGUUCUAUUUUUAACCCGGCCAUGGAACUAUUUUUGCUUCCCCUCACAAAGGCGGCGGAGGGUUAUUGAAAUCGCGGUGUGAGCUGUCUUCCGUCUAUAAAUAUGCCUCUCCCGGGUUCUGCUGCAGGCUUUCAGGCAGCGAGCGCAGAGACGGCUGGUGAGGGAGGAGGGACUGCUUAAGGCGACAGCAGAUAAGUUUUUCUUAAAAAAAAAAAAGCUAGGAAUUAAAGCAAUCUUUAGGAAACGUAAAUAGGGAUAAUACUUCUUGAGAUAUUGCUUAGCAUUAAAUUCGUAGAGUAGUAUUGUAAUCUUAAAAAGAGCUUAAAAGGAAAGCAAUGAAGAUUUUAAAGAGUAGCUUGAGAAAGAAAAUGCUCUUUGUAGAAAAAGACGGAGGUUAAGAGAUGAAGCUUAAUGGAGUGGAAAGAAAUCUAAUUUUAGAAGAAUUGUUGAGAGGACUGCAAAGUCCGGGAUUCA
RNAcentral lists this long non-coding RNA (1815 nucleotides) under Canis lupus familiaris (dog). RNAcentral describes it as "lncRNA (ENSCAFG00845024060.1)". Lineage: Eukaryota; Metazoa; Chordata; Mammalia; Carnivora; Canidae. The record is from RNAcentral.